UAUACCGUGAAACUGCGAAUGGCUCAUUAAAUCAGUUAUCGUUUAUUUGAUAGUACCUUACUACUUGGAUAACCGUGGUAAUUCUAGAGCUAAUACAUGCUAAAAACCCCGACUUCGGGAGGGGUGUAUUUAUUAGAUAAAAAACCAAUGCCCUUCGGGGCUCUUUGGUGAUUCAUGAUAACUUAACGGAUCGCAUGGCCUUGCGCCGGCGACGGUUCAUUCAAAUUUCUGCCCUAUCAACUUUCGAUGGUAAGGUAUUGGCUUACCAUGGUUUCAACGGGUAACGGGGAAUUAGGGUUCGAUUCCGGAGAGGGAGCCUGAGAAACGGCUACCACAUCCAAGGAAGGCAGCAGGCGCGCAAAUUACCCAAUCCCGACACGGGGAGGUAGUGACAAUAAAUACUGAUACAGGGCUCUUUUGGGUCUUGUAAUCGGAAUGAGUACAAUUUAAACCCCUUAACGAGGAACAAUUGGAGGGCAAGUCUGGUGCCAGCAGCCGCGGUAAUUCCAGCUCCAAUAGCGUAUAUUAAAGUUGUUGCAGUUAAAAAGCUCGUAGUUGAACCUUGGGCCUGGCUGGCCGGUCCGCCUCACCGCGUGCACUGGUCCGGCCGGGCCUUUCCUUCUGGAGAGCCUCAUGCCCUUUACUGGGUGUGUAGGGGAACCAGGACUUUUACUUUGAAAAAAUUAGAGUGUUCAAAGCAGGCCUUUGCUCGAAUACGUUAGCAUGGAAUAAUAGAAUAGGACGUGCGGUCCUAUUUUGUUGGUUUCUAGGACCGCCGUAAUGAUUAAUAGGGAUAGUCGGGGGCAUCAGUAUUCAAUUGUCAGAGGUGAAAUUCUUGGAUUUAUUGAAGACUAACUACUGCGAAAGCAUUUGCCAAGGAUGUUUUCAUUAAUCAGUGAACGAAAGUUAGGGGAUCGAAGACGAUCAGAUACCGUCGUAGUCUUAACCGUAAACUAUGCCGACUAGGGAUCGGRCGAUGUUUCUAUCUUGACUCGCUCGGCACCUUACGAGAAAUCAAAGUUUUUGGGUCUGG
This 1033-nucleotide ribosomal RNA is filed under the name Lojkania enalia. RNAcentral describes it as "SSU rRNA". It matches the Rfam family "Eukaryotic small subunit ribosomal RNA", at positions 75 to 1128 of the family's 1831-position model. Lineage: Eukaryota; Fungi; Ascomycota; Dothideomycetes; Pleosporales. The record is from RNAcentral.